ACACUAAACAAGCUUCAUCUUGCUUCUCAAAGCUUUGAUGGUUUAGCCAAAGUCUGUAUGAGUCUUUGGUUGUGUAUCUUCUAACAAGGAAACACUACUUAGGCUUUAAAGAUCUGAAUGUUGUUCUUGUUUUUAUACUCAAUCAUACACAUGACAUAUAUAUUUGACUCCCUAACAUUAAACAAGAUUCAUCUUGCUUCUCAAAGCUUUGAUGGUGUAGCCGAAUUCCAUAUGAGUAUUUGGUUUGU
Molecule: small RNA, 248 nt
Filed under: Arabidopsis thaliana (thale cress)
Lineage: Eukaryota; Viridiplantae; Streptophyta; Magnoliopsida; Brassicales; Brassicaceae
Description: ATSL033960
Source: RNAcentral